RNAcentral lists this transfer RNA (76 nucleotides) under Chitinophaga skermanii. Its description in RNAcentral is "tRNA-Lys". It matches the Rfam family "tRNA". Rfam says of the family: Transfer RNA (tRNA) molecules are approximately 80 nucleotides in length. Their secondary structure includes four short double-helical elements and three loops (D, anti-codon, and T loops). Further hydrogen bonds mediate the characteristic L-shaped molecular structure. tRNAs have two regions of fundamental functional importance: the anti-codon, which is responsible for specific mRNA codon recognition, and the 3' end, to which the tRNAs corresponding amino acid is attached (by aminoacyl-tRNA synthetases). tRNAs cope with the degeneracy of the genetic code in two manners: having more than one tRNA (with a specific anti-codon) for a particular amino acid; and 'wobble' base-pairing, i.e. permitting non-standard base-pairing at the 3rd anti-codon position. The record is from RNAcentral. RNAcentral also lists the same sequence under 11 other names. Lineage: Bacteria; Pseudomonadati; Bacteroidota; Chitinophagia; Chitinophagales; Chitinophagaceae.
GAUUCCGUAGCUCAGUUGGUAGAGCAAUACACUUUUAAUGUAUGGGCCCUGGGUUCGAGUCCCAGCGGGAUCACCA